AUUCUGCUGGUCCCUGAACGAAAGGGCGAUGGCGAUCAGGGUUUGGUGUUGGAUUUUGCUACCUAUUAAAAGUGGAAUCUAAUGACCGUUGAAGGUUGUGACGAUAUAAAGAACCAGAGGUUGUGUAUAUUUGCAGUCUUGUUUUAUUGGUUCAGAUGAGACCCAAACAAGAUGGGCCUGAUGGUGAAGUAGGUGUUUGGUAUGAAACUGCUUUGAAUUCGAUUUGGAUCUUCUAGUUGUUUUGUAUAGAUAGAAUUUGUUGACUUGAGGCCAAAGUUCAUCUUUAUUAAUAUGCUUAUGUGUUUUGAUUGGCCUGAUGGUGAUGACUGCCAGGGCAUCUAGUUCUGCUUGCGAUUUGAUUUGGACCGAAAACCGCAUGAUUUUGUUCUGAAGUUCAGAAUAUAAUGAUUUGGAAAUUUCCCUUGUUUUUUAUCAAUCAAAUAAGCGGAGCUUUGCUGUUAUUUUUCAGGCCUCGUUUGCGGUGUUUGACACACGAGGGUUAGAUGUUAUGGUUAGCUGAUAACUCCAUAGGUUCUUAUGGUGAUCUGAUUGGAUGGCUAUGAGGUUGGAUUUUAUACUGAUUUGCGGAUGCAAUGGAAUGUUGAAUUUCAAAAUUGUCUAUCUGGAUCUAUUGAUUUGCAGGAGAUAGUAAUCGUGUUGCGGAUUUGAGCUUAUGUCUGCACCUUUUCAGUCUUUGGAUAGAGUCCAUUUGUAAAGGUUUUCAUUGGUUUGCUGCAUAUGGAUUAUUGUUUUUGGUUA
Molecule: long non-coding RNA, 759 nt
Organism: Prunus mume (Japanese apricot)
Lineage: Eukaryota; Viridiplantae; Streptophyta; Magnoliopsida; Rosales; Rosaceae
Source: RefSeq, a predicted model, not a curated record